RNAcentral lists this ribosomal RNA (287 nucleotides) under uncultured bacterium. Its description in RNAcentral is "partial 16S ribosomal RNA". It matches the Rfam family "Bacterial small subunit ribosomal RNA", at positions 27 to 319 of the family's 1533-position model. The record is from RNAcentral.
GAUUGAACGCUGGCGGCAUGCCUUACACAUGCAAGUCGAACGGCAGCACGGGGGCAACCCUGGUGGCGAGUGGCGAACGGGUGAGUAAUGCAUCGGAACGUGCCCCGUAGCGGGGGAUAACCAGUCGAAGACUGGCUAAUACCGCAUACGCUCACGGAGGAAAGCAGGGGAUCGCAAGACCUUGCACUAUGGGAGCGGCCGAUGCCCGAUUAGCUAGUUGGUGAGGUAAGGCUCACCAAGGCGACGAUCGGUAGCUGGUUUGAGAGAACGACCAGCCACACUGGGAC